GAUGAACGCUGGCGGCGUGCCUAAUACAUGCAAGUCGAGCGAACAGACGAGGAGCUUGCUCCUCUGACGUUAGCGGCGGACGGGUGAGUAACACGUGGAUAACCUACCUAUAAGACUGGGAUAACUUCGGGAAACCGGAGCUAAUACCGGAUAAUAUAUUGAACCGCAUGGUUCAAUAGUGAAAGACGGUUUUGAUGUCACUUAUAGAUGGAUCCGCGCCGCAUUAGCUAGUUGGUAAGGUAACGGCUUACCAAGGCAACGAUGCGUAGCCGACCUGAGAGGGUGAUCGGCCACACUGGAACUGAGACACGGUCCAGACUCCUACGGGAGGCAGCAGUAGGGAAUCUUCCGCAAUGGGCGAAAGCUUGACGGAGCAACGCCGCGUGAGUGAUGAAGGUCUUCGGAUCGUAAAACUCUGUUAUUAGGGAAGAACAAAUGUGUAAGUAACUAUGCACGUCUUGACGGUACCUAAUCAGAAAGCCACGGCUAACUACGUG
This 497-nucleotide ribosomal RNA is filed under the name uncultured bacterium. RNAcentral describes it as "partial 16S ribosomal RNA". It matches the Rfam family "Bacterial small subunit ribosomal RNA", at positions 28 to 507 of the family's 1533-position model. The record is from RNAcentral.